This 220-nucleotide unclassified non-coding RNA is filed under the name Hevea brasiliensis (rubber tree). The record is from RNAcentral. Lineage: Eukaryota; Viridiplantae; Streptophyta; Magnoliopsida; Malpighiales; Euphorbiaceae.
GGACUAUGCUCGGGAUGGAAAGGUGUUAGGGACCAUCUUGAGUUGUGAUUCUCCAACAAAAUGGUUAAAGAAUUCUUUAUUGACCUCAACCAUGACAAUUGUAUCACACAUAAUAGAAUUAGAUCAUCCAUAGUUAUGAUCAAAUUAAAGUAAACAAGAAUUUCCAUCUUGACUUAAAAUUGGGAUUCUAGGGAUACCACAAUUAUAAAAUAUAAUAAAA